RNAcentral lists this small nuclear RNA (103 nucleotides) under Theropithecus gelada (gelada). The record is from RNAcentral. Lineage: Eukaryota; Metazoa; Chordata; Mammalia; Primates; Cercopithecidae.
GUGCUCGCUUUGGCAACACAUAUACUACAACUGGAAUGAUACAGAGAAGAUUAGCAUGGCCCCUGUGCAAGGAGGACAUGCAAAUUAAAAAAAAAGUUUGUUU